AUGGCUGCUCUAUCAUGCUCCAUCCCCAUUCCCUUCUUCAUACUCAUACUACUACUCUCCGUCCUCUCAUCAUCUUCUUCUUCUUCUAGCCUGACCAACAGUAAUGGCAGCGACACGGACCUCGCGGCACUGCUAGCUUUCAAAGCCCAGCUUGCCGACCCUCUCCGUCUCCUUGCCAGCAACUGGAGCACCGGCACGUCCUUUUGCAAUUGGUUCGGUGUCUCAUGUAGCCGAAGCAGGCAACGAGUCACCGCUCUGUCGUUGCCGGAGACGCCUCUGGUUGGAUCCGUGGCACCUCACAUCGGUAAUCUUUCUUUUCUCUCCUACCUCGAUCUGACCAACACCAAUCUCACGGGUUCCAUUCCAGCCGAACUUGGUAGGCUACGUCGUCUUAGGUAUCUAAGUUUUUAUGAAAAUAGCUUGUCAAACACCAUACCUAGUACCCUGGGGAACCUCACGAGGCUCAUGUUUCUUCAUCUAGCUUAUAACCAACUCUCAGGCCAUAUCCCUUUUGAGAUGCUACUGCAUAUGUCCAACCUUAGGAAAAUUAAUAUGUAUGCAAAUGACUUGAGUGGCCAAAUACCAUCAUAUUUUUUCAACAACACGCCUUCCUUGACAUACAUCAAUUUUGGAAAUAAUAGCUUGUCAGGUCCUAUUCCACACGCCGUUGCACACCUAUCCAUGCUUGAGAAAUUCAUCCUCGAGGUUAAUCAACUCUCUGGUCUAGUACCACAAGCCAUGUAUAACAUGUCCAGGUUGCACACUAUGGCACUUGCAAGUAAUGGUAACCUAACCGGGACGUUUCCGACCAAUCAAAGUUUCAACCUCCCAAUGUUGCGAUUUAUAUCAUUAUCUAGUAACAAGUUUUUCGGCCAGUUUCCAGCAGAGCUUGCAUCAUGCCAGUACCUGGAGAUCAUUGAUUUGGGUGAAAAUUCUUUUGAGGGCACUGUGCCAACAGGGUUGUCCAAAUUAUCACACCUCCAGGUUCUUCACUUAGGUUAUAAUAACAUUGUUGGUCCUAUCCCAACCGCUCUUAGCAAUCUUACCAAUCUUUCAUAUCUAGAUCUCAGCGGCGGAAAUUUGGAAGGGGAGAUUCCACAAGAAUUAGGUCUCAUGCAGGAACUCUCAUUUCUGUCUCUUGGAUCCAAUCAAUUGAUAGGAGAGAUUCCAGCUUCCCUUGGCAACUUAUCAAAAUUGUCUGUUCUAAUUUUGGCAAAUAGUAAACUUUCUGGUCAAGUACCAAUAACACUUGGGGAAAAUGCAGCUUUGAACAAGCUUCUUUUGUCAAGUAACAAUUUGGAGGGGAAUCUAGACUUCUUGUCAGCUCUUUCCCAGUGCAGACAACUCCAAGUCCUUACAAUAGAAGAUAAUUCUUUCACUGGCGUUAUCCCAAGUCUUGUGGGAAACCUUAGUUCAAAACUAGUCACUUUCAUUGCCAGCAAAAACCAGUUAAUAGGUGGACUUCCAGUUGCAAUUGCAAACAUAAGAAGCCUUGUACGGAUAGAUCUUAGUGACAACCUACUCACCGAGCCAGUCCCAGGGUCCAUCGCUAUGUUAGAAAAUCUUGUGUGGCUCGAUCUCUCCAACAAUGACAUGUCGGGUCCUAUCCCGAUACAAAUUGGUAUGCUCGGGCGUCUAGAACAGUUGUUUCUCCAAGCAAACAAAUUCUCAGGCUCUAUACCAAGAAGCUUUGGGAAUAUUAGUUCUUUAGAACACAUUGACCUAUCCAAUAACCAAUUAAGUUCAAUGAUACAUCCGAGCAUUUUCCACCUAGAUAAACUUCUGACACUAGAUCUUUCAAAUAUUCCUUUUCUGGAGCGCUACCAUCUGAUGUUUCCAGUCUAA
Molecule: ribosomal RNA, 1845 nt
Filed under: Triticum aestivum (bread wheat)
Lineage: Eukaryota; Viridiplantae; Streptophyta; Magnoliopsida; Poales; Poaceae
Description: partial small subunit ribosomal RNA
Source: RNAcentral